UACGGAAGGCAGCAGUGGGGAAUAUUGCACAAUGGGCGCAAGCCUGAUGCAGCCAUGCCGCGUGUAUGAAGAAGGCCUUCGGGUUGUAAAGUACUUUCAGUCGUGAGGAAGGUGUUAAGGUUAAUAACCUUAGCAAUUGACGUUAGCGACAGAAGAAGCACCGGCUAACUCCGUGCCAGCAGCCGCGGUAAUACGGAGGGUGCGAGCGUUAAUCGGAAUUACUGGGCGUAAAGGGCACGCAGGCGGUUAAUUAAGUUGGAUGUGAAUCCCCGGGCUUAACCUGGGAAUGGCAUUCAAGACUGGUUAGCUAGAGUCUUGUAGAGGGGGUAGAAUUCCAUGUGUAGCGGUGAAAUGCGUAGAGAUGUGGAGGAAUACCGGUGGCGAAGGCGGCCCCUGGGACAAAGACUGACGCUCAUGUGCGAAAGCGUGGGGAGCGAAACAGGGAUUUAGA
This 451-nucleotide ribosomal RNA is filed under the name uncultured bacterium. RNAcentral describes it as "bacterial SSU rRNA". It matches the Rfam family "Bacterial small subunit ribosomal RNA", at positions 340 to 782 of the family's 1533-position model. The record is from RNAcentral.